Molecule: ribosomal RNA, 484 nt
Filed under: uncultured bacterium
Lineage: Bacteria
Description: bacterial SSU rRNA
Rfam family: Bacterial small subunit ribosomal RNA
Source: RNAcentral
AUGAACGCUAGCGGCAGGCUUAAUACAUGCAAGUCGAGGGGCAGCAUGAGUAGCAAUACUUGAUGGCGACCGGCAAACGGGGUGCGGAACACGUACACAACCUUCCUUUAAGUGGGGAAUAGCCCAGAGAAAUUUGGAUUAAUACCCCGUAACAUAUAGAUGUGGCAUCACAAUUAUAUUAUAGGUUUACCGCUUAAAGAUGGGUGUGCGGCUGAUUAGAUAGUUGGCGGGGUAAUGGCCCACCAAGUCUACGAUCAGUAGCUGAUGUGAGAGCAUGAUCAGCCACACGGGCACUGAGACACGGGCCCGACUCCUACGGGAGGCAGCAGUAAGGAAUAUUGGACAAUGGACGCAAGUCUGAUCCAGCCAUGCCGCGUGAAGGAUUAAGGUCCUCUGGAUUGUAAACUUCUUUUAUAUGGGACGAAAAAAGGGCAUUCUUGCUCACUUGACGGUACCAUAUGAAUAAGCACCGGCUAACUCCGUG